This 489-nucleotide long non-coding RNA is filed under the name Durio zibethinus. RNAcentral's name for it is "long non-coding RNA (DZIB_LNC000130)". Lineage: Eukaryota; Viridiplantae; Streptophyta; Magnoliopsida; Malvales; Malvaceae. The record is from RNAcentral.
UACAAUAUGCAUGUUCUCUCUCACUCUUUUAUUUUGCCAUUUAGUUCCUCCUAUUUCAAGCCACCAACAUCCGUACGUCUUCAAGCAGCUAAUUUCAUCAUAUUUGUCUCUUAUUUAAAAGGGUUUUGUCAAUCGGCCAAUGAAAAUGGUAGCUACGAAAGGUAUUUGAAGAAACUUCUUGUGAUUGACAAUGCAAGAUAUUAUUAUUAUUAUUUUUUAUAUUAAGAAUACGUGCAAGCCUAGCUUAUGUAUUUGAAAAUGUGUGUAAACUAAAUGGGAAUAUAGAAAGAAAACAUCAGGAAACUAACUAAUUCAUCUUUAUUGACAGAUCCCACUUAGGACAAACGAAGGCCAUUAUAAUUUUUUUCCCUGGUUUUUGUCAUUUGCAUUGACUUUAUUCAUGUCAGGUGACUUAUUUCGUGUGAGUGAAGGAGAAGAUGAAGAAAGAAUCAUGUAAAAUACUUUGAGAAUCCCUAUAAUUAAUACUCG